This 71-nucleotide transfer RNA is filed under the name Leucobacter sp. wl10. It matches the Rfam family "tRNA". From Rfam's summary of the family: Transfer RNA (tRNA) molecules are approximately 80 nucleotides in length. Their secondary structure includes four short double-helical elements and three loops (D, anti-codon, and T loops). Further hydrogen bonds mediate the characteristic L-shaped molecular structure. tRNAs have two regions of fundamental functional importance: the anti-codon, which is responsible for specific mRNA codon recognition, and the 3' end, to which the tRNAs corresponding amino acid is attached (by aminoacyl-tRNA synthetases). tRNAs cope with the degeneracy of the genetic code in two manners: having more than one tRNA (with a specific anti-codon) for a particular amino acid; and 'wobble' base-pairing, i.e. permitting non-standard base-pairing at the 3rd anti-codon position. Lineage: Bacteria; Bacillati; Actinomycetota; Actinomycetes; Micrococcales; Microbacteriaceae. The record is from Rfam by way of RNAcentral.
GGUGGGGUGACCGAAUGGCCAGGUCGCGGCUCGCAAAGCCGCGCAUGCAGGUUCGAUUCCUGCCCCCACCU